Molecule: ribosomal RNA, 460 nt
Filed under: uncultured bacterium
Lineage: Bacteria
Description: partial 16S ribosomal RNA
Rfam family: Bacterial small subunit ribosomal RNA
Source: RNAcentral
CCUACGGGGGGCAGCAGUGAGGAAUAUUGGUCAAUGGGCGUAAGCCUGAACCAGCCAAGUCGCGUGAGGGAUGAAGGUUCUAUGGAUCGUAAACCUCUUUUAUAAGGGAAUAAAGUUCUGGACGUGUCCCUUUUUGCAUGUACCUUAUGAAUAAGGAUCGGCUAACUCCGUGCCAGCAGCCGCGGUAAUACGGAGGAUCCGAGCGUUAUCCGGAUUUCUUGGGUUUAAAGGGUGCGUAGGCGGGGUUUUAAGUCAGCGGUGAAAGUUUGUGGCUCAACCAUACAAUUGUCGUUGAACCUGGAAGACUUGAGUAUGUUUGAGGUAGGCGGAAUGCGUGGUGUAGCGGGGAAAUGCAUAGAUAUCACGCAGAACCCCGAUUGCGAAGGCAGCCUGCUAAGCCAUGACUGACGCUGAUGCACGAAAGCGUGGGGAUCAAACAGGAUUAGAUACCCGGGUAGUC